CUCAUAGCUCAGUUGGUUAGAGCACCUGACUCAUAAUCAGGUGGUCGCAGGUUCGAGCCCUGCUGGGCC
This 69-nucleotide transfer RNA is filed under the name marine eukaryotic metagenome. It matches the Rfam family "tRNA". Rfam says of the family: Transfer RNA (tRNA) molecules are approximately 80 nucleotides in length. The record is from RNAcentral.